CGAGCGCGAAAGUAGCCUUCGGGCUGCGAGUAGAGCGGCGAACGGGUGAGUAACACGUGGGUGACCUACCCUAGAGUGGGGAAUAACUUGGGGAAACUCGAGCUAAUACCGCAUACGUUCUCGAGGCUGCGGCCUCGCGAACAAAGGUGGCCUCUUCUUGAAAGCCAUCGCUCUGGGAUGGGCCCGCGCCCGAUUAGCUAGUUGGUGGGGUAACGGCCUACCAAGGCUGCGAUCGGUAGCCGGCCUGAGAGGGUGAUCGGCCACACUGGAACUGAGACACGGUCCAGACUCCUACGGGAGGCAGCAGUAGGGAAUAUUGCGCAAUGGGCGAAAGCCUGACGCAGCAACGCCGCGUGGAGGAUGAAGGCCUUCGGGUCGUAAACUCCUGUCAGGUGGAAAGAACGCUCUAUCGGUUAAGAGCUAGUAGAGCUUGACGGUACCACCAAAGGAAGCCCCGGCUAACUCCGUGCCAGCAGCCGCGGUAAUACGGAGGGGGCAAGCGUUAUUCGGAAUUAUUGGGCGUAAAGGGCGCGUAGGCGGCUUGGUAAGUCAAAGGUGAAAUCCCUCGGCUCAACCGGGGAACUGCCUCUGAAACUGCCUGGCUAGAGUCCGGGAGAGGGUAGCGGAAUUCCCAGUGUAGCGGUGAAAUGCGUAGAUAUUGGGAGGAACACCCGUGGCGAAGGCGGCUACCUGGACCGGUACUGACGCUG
Molecule: ribosomal RNA, 710 nt
Filed under: uncultured Acidobacteriota bacterium
Lineage: Bacteria; Pseudomonadati; Acidobacteriota
Description: bacterial SSU rRNA
Rfam family: Bacterial small subunit ribosomal RNA
Source: RNAcentral